Molecule: ribosomal RNA, 702 nt
Filed under: uncultured bacterium
Lineage: Bacteria
Description: bacterial SSU rRNA
Rfam family: Bacterial small subunit ribosomal RNA
Source: RNAcentral
UGGGCCCGUUAAUGGACGCUGAGGGACGAAAGGUAGGGGAGCGAAAGGGAAUAGAUACCCAUGUAGUCCCUAGCUGUAAACGAUGGAUUCUAGGUGUUUGGGCGUAUCGACCCGUCCAGUACGGUAGCUAACGCGUUAAGUAUCCCGCCUGGGGAGUACGCACGCAAGUGUGAAACUCAAAGGAAUUGACGGGGGCCCGCACAAGCGGUGGAGGAUGUGGUUUAAUUCGAUGCAACGCGAAGAACCUUACCAAGGCUUGACAUCCUGCGAAUCCUUCAGAGAUGGAGGAGUGCCUUCGGGAGCGCAGAGACAGGUGGUGCAUGGCUGUCGUCAGCUCGUGUCGUGAGAUGUUGGGUUAAGUCCCGCAACGAGCGCAACCCUCGUUCUUAGUUGCCAGCAUUAAGUUGGGCACUCUGGGGAGACUGCCGUGGACAACACGGAGGAAGGUGGGGACGACGUCAAGUCAUCAUGCCCCUUACGCCCUGGGCUACACACGUCCUACAAUGGCCGGAUAUAGAGGGCAGCGAAGCCGCGAGGUGGAAGCGAAUCCCAGAAAGCCGUGUCUCAGUUCGGAUUGCAGGCUGCAACUCGCCUGCAUGAAGUCGGAAUCGCUAGUAAACGCAGAUCAGCAUGCUGCGUUGAAUACGUUCCCGGGCCUUGUACACACCGCCCGUCACACCACGAAAGUUUGUUCAACCCGAA